AGAGUUGUAUCCUGGCUCAGGAUGAACGCUGGCGAGAUGCCUUAUACAUGCAAGUCGUACGAGAGUUUUUAACUCAAGUGGCGGACGGGUGAGUAACACGUAAGAAUUUGCCUUUAGGAGGGGGACAACAACUGGAAACGGUUGCUAAUACCCCAUAUGCUUUCGAGUGAAAUGGAUUUUUCCGCCUAGAGAGAAGCUUGCGGCUGAUUAGCUUGUUGGUGAGGUAAUGGCUCACCAAGGCGACGAUCAGUAUCUGGUUUGAGAGGAUGAUCAGACACACUGGAACUGAGACACGGUCCAGACUCCUACGGGAGGCAGCAGUAGGGAAUUUUCCGCAAUGGGCGAAAGCCUGACGGAGCAAUCUCGCGUGAGGGAUGACGGCCUAUGGGUUGUAAACCUCUUUUUUCAGGGAGGAAUUAAUGACGUGUACCUGAAGAAUAAGCAUCGGCUAACUCCGUGCCAGCAGCCGCGGUAAGACGGAGGAUGCAAGUGUUAUCCGGAAUCACUGGGCGUAAAGCGUCUGUAGGUGGUUUAAUAAGUCAACUGUUAAAUCUUGAAGCUUAACUUCAAAAUCGCAGUCGAAACUAUUAGACUAGAGUAUAGUAGGGGUAAAGGGAAUUUCCAGUGGAGCGGUGAAAUGCGUAG
This 645-nucleotide ribosomal RNA is filed under the name uncultured bacterium. Its description in RNAcentral is "bacterial SSU rRNA". It matches the Rfam family "Bacterial small subunit ribosomal RNA", at positions 8 to 693 of the family's 1533-position model. The record is from RNAcentral.